GGUCUUAUAGUUUAAGGAAAAUAUAAAAUUGCAAAUUUUAGGUUGGUUAGUCCUAAGACUU
Molecule: transfer RNA, 61 nt
Filed under: Evacanthus heimianus
Lineage: Eukaryota; Metazoa; Arthropoda; Insecta; Hemiptera; Cicadellidae
Also listed under: 1 other name
Description: tRNA-Cys
Source: RNAcentral